Molecule: ribosomal RNA, 466 nt
Filed under: uncultured bacterium
Lineage: Bacteria
Description: bacterial SSU rRNA
Rfam family: Bacterial small subunit ribosomal RNA
Source: RNAcentral
GGCGAACGCUGGCGGCGCGCUUAAUACAUGCAAGUCGAACGAGAAGCUCGGUGCUUGCACCGGGUGGACAGUGGCGAACGGGUCGAGUAACACGUGAGUAACCUGCCCCGGAGACCGGAAUAACCCGAGGAAACUCGGACUAAUACCGGAUGCCUUCACCGGACCGCAUGAUCUGGUGAAGAAAUGGUCCGCCGCUCCGGGAUGGACUCGCGGCCUAUCAGCUUGUUGGUGAGGUAACGGCUCACCAAGGCGACGACGGGUAGCUGGUCUGAGAGGACGAUCAGCCACACUGGGACUGAGACACGGCCCAGACUCCUACGGGAGGCAGCAGUAGGGAAUCUUGCGCAAUGGGGGAAACCCUGACGCAGCGACGCCGCGUGCGGGAUGAAGGCCCUAGGGUUGUAAACCGCUUUCAGCAGGGACGAAAUUGACGGUACCUGCAGAAGAAGGCCCGGCCAACUACGUG